Molecule: non-coding RNA, 42 nt
Organism: Schistosoma mattheei
Lineage: Eukaryota; Metazoa; Platyhelminthes; Trematoda; Strigeidida; Schistosomatidae
Source: Rfam
UGCUGAGGAGUCCCAUACUAGGACGAAACGGCCGUCCAGUGC